Molecule: ribosomal RNA, 297 nt
Filed under: Lysinibacillus xylanilyticus
Lineage: Bacteria; Bacillati; Bacillota; Bacilli; Caryophanales; Bacillaceae
Description: partial 16S ribosomal RNA
Rfam family: Bacterial small subunit ribosomal RNA
Source: RNAcentral
GGUUGCCAACUCGCGAGAGGGAGCUAAUCCGAUAAAGUCGUUCUCAGUUCGGAUUGUAGGCUGCAACUCGCCUACAUGAAGCCGGAAUCGCUAGUAAUCGCGGAUCAGCAUGCCGCGGUGAAUACGUUCCCGGGCCUUGUACACACCGCCCGUCACACCACGAGAGUUUGUAACACCCGAAGUCGGUGGGGUAACCGUUAUGGAGCCAGCCGCCGAAGGUGGGAUAGAUGAUUGGGGUGAAGUCGUAACAAGGUAGCCGUAUCGGAAGGUGCGGCUGGAUCACCUCCUUUCUAAGGA